Molecule: long non-coding RNA, 681 nt
Filed under: Malus domestica (apple)
Lineage: Eukaryota; Viridiplantae; Streptophyta; Magnoliopsida; Rosales; Rosaceae
Description: long non-coding RNA (MDOM_LNC002743)
Source: RNAcentral
UUUAGUGCUUUAUUUAAUUUCUUAUUUAUUUGUAGUAUUUUAUGUAAUUUCUUAUUUAUUUUUAGUACUUUGUGUAAUUUCAUAUUUAUUUUUAGUUCUUUGUGUAAUUUCAUAUUUAUUUUUAGUUCUUUGUGUAAUUUCAUAUUUAUUUUUAGUACUUUGUAUACUUUCUUAUUUAUUUUUAGUACUUUAUGUAAUUUCUUAUUUAUUGGUAGUACCUUAUGUAAUUUCUUAUUUAUUAUUAGUACUUUGUGUAAUUUCUUAUUUAUUUUUAAUACUUCAUGUAAUUUCAAAUUUAGUUUUUUGUACUUUAUUUAAACACAUCAAAUAAGAUUACAUAAACUCACCAAAUAAACUUAAAAUAAAACACCAAAUAAAAUUACAUAACCUCACCAAAUAAACUUAAAAAAAAACACACUAAAUAAAAUUACAUAGACUUAAAAAAACACACUUUGUUCUUCAACCACAAGCUCAUUUUAAUUAUCUUCACCUUGUUGCAAUCCCCACUAGUGCUCAAUUAAGUCACUCUGGCAAAUUAUGUGCCAGUAUGGCUCUUGCACUGAAGUGUACCGCUCAACGAUCAAUUGAUUGUAACGUCCAUCCUAUUCCAACGACUCAUGUUGCACAGGAUCUUCGGUCUGGUCAUGAGCAUAGUAGAUACGUGUUCUUGAGUUGUUCAUC